RNAcentral lists this ribosomal RNA (465 nucleotides) under uncultured bacterium. Its description in RNAcentral is "partial 16S ribosomal RNA". It matches the Rfam family "Bacterial small subunit ribosomal RNA", at positions 28 to 507 of the family's 1533-position model. The record is from RNAcentral.
GACGAACGCUGGCGGCGUGCUUAACACAUGCAAGUCGAACGGAAAGGCCCCCUUGUGGGGUACUCGAGUGGCGAACGGGUGAGUAACACGUGAGUAACCUACCCUUGACUUUGGGAUAACUUCAGGAAACUGGGGCUAAUACCGGAUAGGAGCUCCUGCUGCAUGGUGGGGGUUGGAAAGUUUCGGCGGUUGGGGAUGGACUCGCGGCUUAUCAGCUUGUUGGUGGGGUAGUGGCUCACCAAGGCUUUGACGGGUAGCCGGCCUGAGAAGGUGACCGGCCACAUUGGGACUGAGAUACGGCCCAGACUCCUACGGGAGGCAGCAGUGGGGAAUAUUGCACAAUGGGCGGAAGCCUGAUGCAGCAACGCCGCGUGCGGGAUGACGGCCUUCGGGUUGUAAACCGCUUUCGCCUGUGACGAAGCGUGAGUGACGGUAAUGGGUAAAGAAGCACCGGCUAACUACGUG